UACGUAGGGUGCAAGCGUUGUCCGGAAUUAUUGGGCGUAAAGAGCUCGUAGGCGGUUUGUCGCGUCUGCUGUGAAAACCCGAGGCUCAACCUCGGGCCUGCAGUGGGUACGGGCAGACUAGAGUGCGGUAGGGGAGAUUGGAAUUCCUGGUGUAGCGGUGGAAUGCGCAGAUAUCAGGAGGAACACCAAUGGCGAAGGCAGAUCUCUGGGCCGUAACUGACGCUGAGACGCGAAAGCGUGGGGAGCGAACAGG
This 253-nucleotide ribosomal RNA is filed under the name uncultured bacterium. Its description in RNAcentral is "partial 16S ribosomal RNA". It matches the Rfam family "Bacterial small subunit ribosomal RNA", at positions 524 to 776 of the family's 1533-position model. The record is from RNAcentral.